CUUGGUCACCGUUUAAUCUCGGUUCUGACUUUGUAAGGACGUUUUCGACAUCUGAUUCAAAAGGAGUUAAUGGGCGGGCCUUGAGGAAUCAGAAUUAAAGAUUGAAUCAUUCCAUACCUUUUGCUACCGUAGAUGCCGAGGAGCAAU
Molecule: long non-coding RNA, 147 nt
Organism: Camelina sativa (false flax)
Lineage: Eukaryota; Viridiplantae; Streptophyta; Magnoliopsida; Brassicales; Brassicaceae
Source: RefSeq, a predicted model, not a curated record